GAUGAACGCUGGCGGCGUGCCUAACACAUGCAAGUCGAGCGAUUUACUUCGGUAAAGAGCGGCGGACGGGUGAGUAACGCGUGGGUAACCUGCCCUGUACACACGGAUAACAUACUGAAAGGUAUGCUAAUACGGGAUAACAUAAGAGAGUCGCAUGGCUUUCUUAUCAAAGCUUUUGCGGUACAGGAUGGACCCGCGUCUGAUUAGCUAGUUGGUAAGGUAACGGCUUACCAAGGCGACGACCAGUAGCCGACCUGAGAGGGUGAUCGGCCACAUUGGAACUGAGACACGGUCCAAACUCCUACGGGAGGCAGCAGUGGGGAAUAUUGCACAAUGGGCGAAAGCUUGAUGCAGCAACGCCGCGUGAGCGAUGAAGGCCUUCGGGUCGUAAAGCUCUGUCCUCAAGGAAGAUAAUGACGGUACUUGAGGAGGAAGCCCCGGCUAACUACGUGCCAGCAGCCGCCGUAA
RNAcentral lists this ribosomal RNA (468 nucleotides) under uncultured bacterium. RNAcentral's name for it is "partial 16S ribosomal RNA". It matches the Rfam family "Bacterial small subunit ribosomal RNA", at positions 28 to 523 of the family's 1533-position model. The record is from RNAcentral.